GACGAACGCUGGCGGCGUGCUUAACACAUGCAAGUCGAACGGAAAGGCACUGCUUUUGUGGGGUGAUCGAGUGGCGAACGGGUGCGUAACACGUGAGUAACCUGCCCUAGACUUUGGGAUAACUUCAGGUAACUGGGGCUAAUAUCGGAUAGGAGAUCAUGCUGCAUGGUGGGGGUUGGAAAGUUUCGGCGGUUGGGGAUGGACUCGCGGCUUAUCAGCUUGCUGGUGGGGUAGUGGCUUACCAAGGAUUUGACUGGUCGCCGGCCUGGGAGGGUGACCGGCCACAAUGGGACUGAGAUACGGCCCAGACUCCAACGGUAGGCAGCAGUGGGGAGUAUUACACAGUGAGCGGAAGCCUGAUGCAGCGGCGCCGCGUGCGUAAUGACGUCCUUCGGGUUGUAAACCGCUUUCGCCUGUGACGAAGCUGUAGUGACGGUAAUGGAUAAAUAAGCACCGGCUAACUACGUG
RNAcentral lists this ribosomal RNA (468 nucleotides) under uncultured bacterium. RNAcentral describes it as "partial 16S ribosomal RNA". It matches the Rfam family "Bacterial small subunit ribosomal RNA", at positions 28 to 507 of the family's 1533-position model. The record is from RNAcentral.